AUGUUGCCUUUUCGAUGAUUUCUGAUCAUGAAAAUCACUAGAACAAGAUUAGUACUACCAUUUAGUUGUUUGAUUCUCUGAGUUUGCAGCAGACUUUUCUUCUUCUCAUGUCAGCAUCCUUCAGCUACGAUGUGUUCCUCAGCUUCAGAGGUUCUGAUACUCGCUACGGUUUCACUGGAAAUCUCUACAAAGCUCUUUGUGACAAGGGAAUCCAUGCCUUCAUCGAUGAUGAAGAGCUUCAAAGAGGGGAUGAAAUCGGAGAAGCACUUAUCGAGGCCAUUAAACAGUCUAGGAUGGCCAUAGUUGUGUUCUCCAAGAACUAUGCAUCUUCUUCCUUUUGCUUAGAUGAACUUGUCAAGAUCAUUGAUUGUGUUAAGGAAAAGGGUCGUCUGAUUUUGCCCAUUUUCUACGACGUCUGCCCUUCUCAUGUUCGAGGCCAGUCUGGGAGUUAUGCAGAAGCUUUGGCCAUGCACCAGGAAAGGUUCAAAAGCAGCAAUCAAAGCCUCAUUGAUAACAUGGGCAGGUUGCAGAAAUGGAAGAUGGCUCUUAACCAAGCAGCUAAUGUGUCCGGAAAGCAUUACAAACUUGGAAAUGAAUAUGAACAUGAGUUUAUAGGGAAGAUAGUUAAAGAGGUCUGCAACAAGAUAAACCGCAGACCUUUGCAUGUUGCAGAUUACCCCGUUGGGAUGGAGUGUCGAGUGCAAAAAGUGAAGUCACUUCUUCAAUUUGGAUCUGAUACUGGAGUCCACAUUGUAGGGAUUCAUGGAAUAGGCGGAAUGGGGAAGACAACACUAGCUCGAGCAGUUUACAAUUCCAUUGCAGACCAAUUUGAAGGUUUAUGUUUUCUUGAUGGUGUGAGAGAAAACGCUGUUAAACAAGGGUUAGUACAUCUCCAAGAGAUGCUUCUUUCUGAAAUAGUUGGAGAGAAGGAUAUUAGGAUAGGAAGUGUAAGCAAAGGAAUUUCAAUAAUAAAGCAUAGGCUCCACCGAAAGAAGGUUCUUUUGAUUCUUGACGAUGUUGACAAACUAGAACAAGUGCGAGCAACGGCUGGAGAGCGUAAUUGGUUUGGUUCUGGCAGCAGAGUCAUCAUAACAACUAGGGACAAACAUUUGCUUCAGGGAGUUGAUGGAAAAUAUGAGGUAGAGGACUUAAAUGAGGAAGAAGCACUUGAAUUGCUUAGUUGGAAUGCUUUUAAAGAUCACAGAGUUGAUCCAUGUUACAAGGACAUUUCAAACCAAGCAGUGGCUUAUGCUUCUGGCCUUCCACUAGCUUUGGAAGUAAUAGGUUCCUUGUUGUUUGGAAAAGGUACAAGAGAAUGGGAAUCUGCAUUAGACCAGUUCAAAAAAAUCCCUAACAGAAGGAUCCAAGAAAUACUUAAGGUGAGCUAUAAUGCUUUAGAGGAAAAUCAACAGAGAAUUUUUCUUGACAUUGCUUGCUGCUUGAAAGGAUAUGAAUUGGAAGAGGUUGAAGACAUACUUGGUGUUCAUUAUGGUGUUUGCAUGAAAUAUGACAUAGGAGUGUUGGUGGAUAAAUCUCUCAUAAAAAUUAAGAAUGGCUGUGUGACACUUCAUGAAUUGAUAGAAGUUAUGGGUAAGGAAAUCGAUCGCCAAGAAUCACCCAAAGAGCUUGGGAAACACAGGAGGUUAUGGUUCCAUAAAGAUAUAAUUCAAGUUUUAGCAGAAAAUACAGGGACUAGUGAGAUUGAAAUAAUCUGUUUGGAUUUCCCCUUAUAUGAAGAAGAUGAAGAAGUAUUUGUAGAAUGGGAUGGAGAGGCCUUCAAGAAGAUGGAAAACCUCAAAACACUAAUUAUUAGAAACUCUCAUUUUUCAAAAGGUCCAGCAUAUCUUCCAAAUAGUUUAAGAGUAUUAGAAUGGUGGACAUAUCCAUUACAGGAUUUACCAACUGAUUUUCAUCCGAGCAAACUUGCCAUAUGCAAAUUACCCAGAAGUUGCUUUACAUCACUUGAGUUAGCUACCAUAUCAAAGGCAUGUGUAAUGGGUUCAUUUCCACGAUCAUUCGAAGAUUAUUCUGUUGGUUCUUAUUUGUUUUCCCUUUUUCUUUUGCAGAAGUUCAUGAAUCUGACAGUUCUGAAUUUUGAUGGGACUGAAUGUUUGACAAAAAUACCUGACAUAUCGAGCCUCCAAAAUUUAGAAAAACUGACAUUUGAGUGUUGUGAGAAUUUAGUUGCAAUUCAUGGUUCUGUGGGUUUUCUUGAUAAACUUAAAAUCUUGAGUGCUUUUGGCUGCAGCAAGCUUACGAGUUUUCCACCCAUCAAGUUGAUCUCUCUUGAACGACUAGAUAUUUCAUCUUGUUCAAGUCUUGAGAGUUUUCCAGAAAUAUUAGGAAAGAUGGAAAAUAUAACGCAGCUAGAGUUGAAGUACACUCCCUUAAAAGAAUUCCCAUUUUCAUUUAGAAAUCUUGCUCGACUUCAAGAUUUGGUGCUGGUUGACUGCGGAAAUGUUCAGUUGCCGAGUAGCAUUGUCAUGUUGCCAGAACUGGCUGAGAUUUUCGCCCUGGGGUGUAAAGGCUGGCUAUUGCCAAAACAAGAUGAGAAUGAUGAAGAAAAAUUGAGCUCAGUGUCUUCAAAUGUAAAAUGUCUUUGUCUCUCAGGCUGCAAUCUAUCAGAUGAAUACUUUCCCAUGGUUUUAGCAUGGUUUGGUAAUGUGAAAGAGUUAGAACUAUCAAGCAAUAGCUUCACAUUUCUUCCAGAAUGCAUCAAACAAUGUCGUUCUUUAAAAUUACUUAACUUGGAUAACUGUGAGCAUCUUCGAGAAAUUAGAGGGACUCCACCAAAUUUAGAAUAUUUCUCUGCUGGAAAUUGCAAAUCCAUGAGUUUCUGUUGUUCAGCCAUGCUAUUGGACCAGGAACUGCAUGUGGCUGGAAACACUAUGUUUUGUUUGCCAGGAUCUAGAAUACCAGAAUGGCUAGAGCAACAAAGUAUAGGUCCAUCACUAUCUUUCUGGUUUCGUGAGAAGUUCCCUGUCAUGGAUUUGUGUUUUGUUAUUGGGCCAAUGGGUAAGGACUCUAUUUUGUUUAGACCAAUCAUGACCAUCAAUGGCAACACAAUGGAGAUACAGUCCUUAACUGAUAAGAGGUUUUGUUUCGAUUUCCCUGCAUUGGAUUAUCAUAUACUCAUCAUUGGUACAAAGUACAUGAAGUUUGGAGAUAAUCUGGAUAAACCACUCUCAAAAAAUGAAUGGAAUCAUGUGGUGGUUUCCAUUGCUCUUGAUUUUGAACCAACCCCUAAAGAGAUUAUUGUCAAGCAAACUGCACUCCAUGUAAUCAAACCAGAAAGUAGCAUGGAUGAUAUCCAAUUCACUGAUCCUUGUAAGCAACCAUCCUUCAAAGAGAAGCAAAGAUUGGUUGACACUGUUGAUUGUCACAGACAAUUUAUGCAGCACCAAACCACUUUGGUUUCAUUGGAACCACAUGUGAGACAAGGCAGAAAUUCACUUUCAUUGAUUCCACCUCAAGAAUGCAAAAAUAAUCUGAACUGGGAUUCAUUUUCAACUGGAACAAGUAGCAUUGCCAGUGUCCAGGAAUAUGAAAUUGCAUCAAAGAAGUUACGUUUGGACAUGGGAAUUUUGCAAUUUGUGCAGCAGCGGAAAAGAUUGGCUAUUUUGGGUUUACUGCAACAACGACGCAUGGCUUCAUUGGAUUUACUGCAACGAAGGGGCAGAGAAUUGCUUUCAUUGCUUUGUUCUCCAUCAUUGGAGUUGAUGGUCUCAUGGCAGAGGAGAUGCAUCACAACUUUCCAAGUUUCUGAUUUUCAGGUUUGCAGGAGCAACAUUUACCUUCGACCAUCAAACAAAACUUUGAAGGCUGUAAUGGCAUCAAUGAAGCCAAAGUGAAUGAAGUGAUAAGAUGCAACAACAAUUAUGGAAAUGACAAUGAAAGAAACCCAUUAGUGGAACAGCUUCUACUGAGAAAGGCAAGCUGAAACUUUACUUUGAAUGGAACAUCGCUUAGAGCCAAACGCUUAUAGCCAUUUUCAUUCACAAAGAUGCCAACAUCCUUGCACAAGUGCUUGGAAUAAGGUAACAGAGUUGGACAAUAGACAAUUUUAUAAGCACCUUCAAACUUCUCAAUCUUGAACCAGUUGCGUAUGGUUCCCCAACUAGGGUUUCCCACAGAGCCACCAGUGGUCACAAACCACUGUCCUUUAGCAACAUCAAAGUGGUCCAGUUUCCACACUGGCGAAUACUCAGCACAACUGGUAUGAUCGGUGGAGAACAUGAUGUUCAAAUCAGUGGACACACGAACAACACCUUUCUUAGGGUCAACGGGUGAGAAUGACAAUGGCAAGCCAAGAGAUCCUCUCACAAGCACCACAUCAAGAGGGCAUGAUUCAUCAAGGCUGGCAAUUGAAAGGCCUCCACUUUUGAAGCAUAUUCCGUACCUUGGGCAUCUUGUUAAGGGACAGCCGGAACAAUGUAGUAACUGAGACCAACUCGGAGCUUUUUCCCUGAUGUGUCAACCACUUGCUCAGGUGAUGCAUCUGCUGCUCCAAGUAAUGGUUGAGAGCUCAAGGCAAAGAGAAGCACAAAUGCUAUCAGUAUGCUCUUCAUUAUUUGUUUUGUGUGUAAUUAAGGUUAUUAUUUUGGUUGAUGAUGGAUGGACCAUACUGGAGAUGUGAAGUCUGAAUUUAUAGAUGUCUUCGUUUAAUAUUAA
Vigna angularis (adzuki bean) is the source of this 4671-nucleotide RNA transcript. It is a transcript of the gene named TMV resistance protein N, with no coding region annotated. The record is from RefSeq and is a predicted model, not a curated record. NCBI's taxonomy places the organism in Eukaryota, Viridiplantae, Streptophyta, Magnoliopsida, Fabales, Fabaceae. The transcript is spliced from 7 exons.